CCUACGGGUGGCAGCAGUGGGGAAUAUUGGACAAUGGGGGAAACUCUGAUCCAGCGACGCCGCGUGAGGGAAGAAGUACUUCGGUAUGUAAAGCUCUAUCAGUAGGGAAGAAAAUGACGGUACCUGAGUAAGAAGCCCCGGCUAACUACGUGCCAGCAGCCGCGGUAAUACGUAGGGGGCCAGCGUUAUCCGGAUUUACUGGGUGUAAAGGGAGCGUAGACGGUGCAGCAAGUCUGUUGUGAAAGGUCGCGGCUCAACCGCGAAACUGCAUUGGAAACUGGCGAACUGGAGUACAGGAGAGGUAAGCGGAAUUCCUAGUGUAGCGGUGAAAUGCGUAGAUAUUAGGAGGAACACCGGUGGCGAAGGCAGCUUACUGGACUGUAACUGACGUUGAGGCUCGAAAGCGUGGGGAGCAAACAGGAUUAGAUACCCGGGUAGUC
Molecule: ribosomal RNA, 440 nt
Filed under: uncultured bacterium
Lineage: Bacteria
Description: partial 16S ribosomal RNA
Rfam family: Bacterial small subunit ribosomal RNA
Source: RNAcentral